GCCCGCUCAGAACUUAAAGGAAUUGACGGGGCCCGCACAAGCGGAGGAGCAUGUGGUUUAAUUCGAUGAUACGCGAGGAACCUUACCUGGGCUCGAACGUAAGAUGACUGUAGGUGAAAGCUUACAUCUCUUCGGAGCAUUUUACGAGGUGCUGCAUGGUUGUCGUCAGCUCGUGCCGUGAGGUGUCGGGUUAAGUCCCAUAACGAGCGCAACCCCUACCUUUAGUUGCCAUCAGGUUAAGCUGGGGACUCUAAAGGAACUGCCUACGCAAGUAGUGAGGAAGGCGGGGAUGACGUCAAAUCAGCACGGCCCUUACGUCCAGGGCUACACACGUGCUACAAUGGCCGAUACAGAGGGCAGCUACCUGGUGACAGGAUGCAAAUCUCCAAAGUCGGUCUCAGUUCGGAUCGGAGUCUGCAACCCGACUCCGUGAAGUUGGAUUCGCUAGUAAUCGCGCAUCAGCCAUGGCGCGGUGAAUACGUUCCCGGGCCUU
This 493-nucleotide ribosomal RNA is filed under the name uncultured Sphingobacteriales bacterium. Its description in RNAcentral is "bacterial SSU rRNA". It matches the Rfam family "Bacterial small subunit ribosomal RNA", at positions 888 to 1382 of the family's 1533-position model. The record is from RNAcentral. Lineage: Bacteria; Pseudomonadati; Bacteroidota; Sphingobacteriia; Sphingobacteriales.